Molecule: Y RNA, 98 nt
Filed under: Amphimedon queenslandica
Lineage: Eukaryota; Metazoa; Porifera; Demospongiae; Haplosclerida; Niphatidae
Rfam family: Y RNA
About the family: Y RNAs are components of the Ro ribonucleoprotein particle (Ro RNP), in association with Ro60 and La proteins.
Source: Rfam by way of RNAcentral
GGAAGGUCCGAAGAGCAAGGGUUACCAUAAGAAGAAUUAUUAUUACAAAUAUAUUAUAUCAAUACUCCCUCCCUUGCUCCCUACUUGACCUUCCUUUU